GAUGAACGCUGGCGGCGUGCCUCAUACAUGCAAGUCGAGCGAACGGACGAGAAGCUUGCUUCUCUGAUGUUAGCGGCGGACGGGUGAGUAACACGUGGAUAACCUACCUAUAAGACUGGGAUAACUUCGGGAAACCGGAGCUAAUACCGGAUAAUAUUUUGAACCGCAUGGUUCAAAAGUAAAAGACGGUCUUGCUGUCACUUAUAGAUGGAUCCGCGCUGCAUUAGCUAGUUGGUAAGGUAACGGCUUACCAAGGCAACGAUGCAUAGCCGACCUGAGAGGGUGAUCGGCCACACUGGAACUGAGACACGGUCCAGACUCCUACGGGAGGCAGCAGUAGGGAAUCUUCCGCAAUGGGCGAAAGCCUGACGGAGCAACGCCGCGUGAGUGAUGAAGGUCUUCGGAUCGUAAAACUCUGUUAUUAGGGAAGAACAUAUGUGUAAGUAACUGUGCACAUCUUGACGGUACCUAAUCAGAAAGCCACGGCUAACUACGUGCCAGCAGCCGCGGUAAUACGUAGGUGGCAAGCGUUAUCCGGAAUUAUUGGGCGUAAAGCGCGCGUAGGCGGUUUUUUAAGUCUGAUGUGAAAGCCCACGGCUCAACCGUGGAGGGUCAUUGGAAACUGGAAAACUUGAGUGCAGAAGAGGAAAGUGGAAUUCCAUGUGUAGCGGUGAAAUGCGCAGAGAUAUGGAGGAACACCAGUGGCGAAGGCGACUUUCUGGUCUGUAACUGACGCUGAUGUGCGAAAGCGUGGGGAUCAAACAGGAUUAGAUACCCUGGUAGUCCACGCCGUAAACGAUGAGUGCUAAGUGUUAGGGGGUUUCCGCCCCUUAGUGCUGCAGCUAACGCAUUAAGCAC
RNAcentral lists this ribosomal RNA (858 nucleotides) under uncultured Staphylococcus sp. Its description in RNAcentral is "bacterial SSU rRNA". It matches the Rfam family "Bacterial small subunit ribosomal RNA", at positions 28 to 867 of the family's 1533-position model. Lineage: Bacteria; Bacillati; Bacillota; Bacilli; Caryophanales; Staphylococcaceae. The record is from RNAcentral.